GACGGGGCCCGCACAAGCGGUGGAGCAUGUGGUUUAAUUCGAAGCAACGCGAAGAACCUUACCAGGUCUUGACAUCCCGAUGCUAUUUCUAGAGAUAGAAAGUUACUUCGGUACAUCGGUGACAGGUGGUGCAUGGUUGUCGUCAGCUCGUGUCGUGAGAUGUUGGGUUAAGGUCCCGCAACGAGCGCAACCCCUAUUGUUAGUUGCCAUCAUUCAGUUGGGCACUCUAGCGAGACUGCCGGUAAUAAACCGGAGGAAGGUGGGGAUGACGUCAAAUCAUCAUGCCCCUUAUGACCUGGGCUACACACGUGCUACAAUGGUUGGUACAACGAGUUGCGAGUCGGUGACGGCGAGCUAAUCUCUUAAAGCCAAUCUCAGUUCGGAUUGUAGGCUGCAACUCGCCUACAUGAAGUCGGAAUCGCUAGUAAUCGCGGAUCAGCACGCCGCGGUGAAUACGUUCCCGGGCCUU
Molecule: ribosomal RNA, 469 nt
Filed under: uncultured Streptococcus sp.
Lineage: Bacteria; Bacillati; Bacillota; Bacilli; Lactobacillales; Streptococcaceae
Description: bacterial SSU rRNA
Rfam family: Bacterial small subunit ribosomal RNA
Source: RNAcentral